Molecule: long non-coding RNA, 947 nt
Organism: Magnolia sinica
Lineage: Eukaryota; Viridiplantae; Streptophyta; Magnoliopsida; Magnoliales; Magnoliaceae
Exons: 3
Source: RefSeq, a predicted model, not a curated record
ACUCUCAUUUUUAGCAGUUACAGAGGCAUAAACUGUGUGCAUAGAUUUUUUAAGUGGGUUAGGGAUGGAUUGGUUUGUUGAAUGGAAGGGAAAAAAAGUUUGGAUUUGAGAUCGGUUUUCUGAAGAAAAAAAAAAGUUCUACACAUUGUUACUUGCUUCAUGAUUAUCAUUUCAUUAUGGUUAUACUAUAGUCGAUUCAUGAACUGUUGUUCAAUUUAAUAAUCUUUCUAUGCAUCCAGGUUGGAUAUGCUAUGCUGAAAAAACACUUGACUUAUAUACUACCUUUAUUUCUUCUGUGAAGAUUCCACAACAAGCAAUUGGGGCAACCAUCAAGCAUCACAUUUGCCAAAAAAAUGGGUCUAAUAGAUUUGAAGGGGAAUCAACUGACCGGGUCAAUCCCUGAUGAGAUCGGCAACUGCGUCUUGCUGAAAUCUCUCAUUUGCUUGCAUUCUGAAGUUAUGGGAUUGAGAAUGUAAUGGAGGAUUUAACUGAAAUCUGUGUUGGUUUGUUUUCUAUAGGGAUUUAUCCGGUAACUUGCUAUAUGGAGAUAUUUUGUUCUCGACAUCUAGGCUCAAACAGCUUGAGGACUUGACAUUAAAGAACAAUCAGUUAACAGGGCCUAUCCCUUUAACCCUUUCACAGAUGCCAAAUCUCAAAAAUCUGUAAGGUUGCUGUCACUUAUAUUUGAGGUGCUUGUUCUAUUUUAUGGUUUACGCUUUCUAAUAUCUACUUGAAAACAUUUAAUUGGUUUUUUUUUUCCUUCUCAUGUGGGUUUUCUCAGUUACACAUUUGCAUUGGGGGUUUGUCUGAUAGAACAUACCUAAACUACAGUUGUUUGUUUCCAAUGGUGUGGAUUUGUGUGUACAGAGUGAUUUUAAUGGGUCCCUUGUUGUUUAAAUCUUUUUAGGGAUCUUGCUCAAAAUCAACUCACUGGUGACAUUCCGAGG